RNAcentral lists this ribosomal RNA (460 nucleotides) under uncultured bacterium. RNAcentral describes it as "partial 16S ribosomal RNA". It matches the Rfam family "Bacterial small subunit ribosomal RNA", at positions 338 to 795 of the family's 1533-position model. The record is from RNAcentral.
CCUACGGGGGGCAGCAGUGAGGAAUAUUGGUCAAUGGACGCAAGUCUGAACCAGCAAUGCCGCGUGCAGGAAGACGGCCCUAUGAGUUGUAAGCUGCUUUUGUACGAGGGUAAACGCAGAUACGUGUAUCUGUCUGAGCGUAUCGUACGAACAAGGAUCGGCUCCCUCCGUGCCAGCAGCCGCGGUAAUACGGAGGAUUCAAGCGUUAUCCGGAUUUAUUGGGUUUAAAGGGUGCGUAGGCGGUCGGGUCAGUUAGUGGUGAAAUCCCGAGGCUCAACUUCGGAAUUGCCUCUGAUACUGUUGGGCUAGAGUGUAGUUGCGGUAGGCGGAAUGUAUGGUGUAGCGGUGAAAUGCUUAGAGAUCAGACAGAACACCGAUUGCGAAGGCAGCUUACCAAGCUACGUCUGACGUUGAGGCACGAAAGCGUGGGGAGCAAACAGGAUUAGAUACCCGUGUAGUC